RNAcentral lists this ribosomal RNA (612 nucleotides) under Triticum aestivum (bread wheat). RNAcentral describes it as "partial small subunit ribosomal RNA". Lineage: Eukaryota; Viridiplantae; Streptophyta; Magnoliopsida; Poales; Poaceae. The record is from RNAcentral.
AUGGAAUUGAGGGUGCCUCAUAUGCUUCAUAUUUUUAAUGUCUUUCAUGAAAAUAAGGAUUCUGAUAAUUAUGCUCAAUUGCUAGAGGAAGAAUGUAUUAGAAUGUUUUGCACUAAAUCUUUGAAUGAUGAGCAUGAUUGCAAUGUUGUUAGUAUGAAUUCCUUGAAUAUCCAUGAUGCUAAUGAUAUGCGAAGCCACAAGCUUGGGGAUGCUAUAUUUCAUGAAGAUGAUAUUUUUAGUCCCCCAAGUUUUGAUGAGAAUAUUUAUUAUGAUGAAACCAUGCUUCCUAUUUAUGAUGAUUAUAUUGAUGAAAUUGGAUUUGGAGAGGUCAUGACUUUAUUUAAUGAUGAAUCCACUAUUUCAGAAGAGGUUCCAAAUGAUUAUGAGAAUAAAGUUCCUACCUAUGAUGAUUAUUGUGAUGACAUGUAUGCUAUAAAAAACAAUGAUAACCAUGAAACUUGUCAUCUUGAUUUUAAUCUUCAAUUGGAUUAUGCCUUACAUGAUAGUUAUUUUGUUGAGUUUGCUCUCAUUACUAUUCAUGAGAAGAAUUUUGCUUAUGUGGAGAGUAAUAAAAUUUCUAUGCUUGUAGAUCACAAAAAAUGCUUUAUGUGA